Molecule: ribosomal RNA, 450 nt
Filed under: uncultured bacterium
Lineage: Bacteria
Description: partial 16S ribosomal RNA
Rfam family: Bacterial small subunit ribosomal RNA
Source: RNAcentral
GUGGGGAAUUUUGGACAAUGGGCGCAAGCCUGAUCCAGCAAUGCCGCGUGCAGGAAGAAGGCCUUCGGGUUGUAAACUGCUUUUGUACGGAACGAAAAGGCUCUGGUUAAUACCUGGGGCUCAUGACGGUACCGUAAGAAUAAGCACCGGCUAACUACGUGCCAGCAGCCGCGGUAAUACGUAGGGUGCAAGCGAUAAUCGGAAUUACUGGGCGUAAAGCGUGCGCAGGCGGUUUUGUAAGACAGACGUGAAAUCCCCGGGCUCAACCUGGAAAUGGGGUUUGUGACUGAAAAGCUGGAGUGCGGCAGAGGGGGAUGGAAUUCCGCGUGUAGCAGUGAAAUGCGUAGAUAUGCGGAGGAACACCGAUGGCGAAGGCAAUCCCCUGGGCCUGCACUGACGCUCAUGCACGAAAGCGUGGGGAGCAAACAGGAUUAGAAACCCCUGUAGUCC